AUGCCUGAUCUCACGCCUUCUUGUCCUACAAUUCAGCGCUGGCGACAAAGGUUUUCCCAAGUCGAGAUCGAGAUACCAGCCCGGCUCCGCCAACAUAUUCCCGAUAAUAGACCAGCUCUGGUCUACCCAGAUGAGCCUGUGGUGCUGGGCCCGUAUGAAGACACCCCCCAGGCUCAAGCAGAGAGGGAGCUGCGCAAUGCUCGAUGGCCUAUCUAUGACCCACCAAUUGAGUACACUAGCUGGGAGGGGGAUUUUAUCCGUCUCCCUGCAUAUGAUGCUUGGGACACAUCCGUGGGUUCCCUACGAUGCCUGCCGCCUAAAAAACGCUUUUUGGUGAUGUACGGAGCAGGGAGACGCAAACGAUCGCGCCCUAGCCCACCGUCCGUGGCUGACCACCCUGGAUCUCCGCAACCCGCACAGCACAGACCAUCGAGGGACCAGACGCCGCGCCCUAGUCCGCCGCCCAUGGCUCAGCGCCCGGCUACGCCGCAACCCGCACCGCAGCCCGCCUCUCCACGAAUACAAUUUCUUAAUGGUAAUAGCUCCUCGAAUUUAGAUAUAAGCGCCGACGAAACCUUUAAUUUUAGAGUGUUAGGUGAAGAAGCUAGGGGUUUGCCUAAUAUGGAAGCAGGCCUUUUAUGCAUGAAUCUGAUUCUCAAUGAGCCUCCAACAGAACCUUCGUCAGGCCCUGAAACUUGCAGUCCAUGGUUGCACCACACUUUAGCACAACUCAUCCAGUAUUGUCUUGUGAGAGGGAAUGUCCGCCCUCAAGACAGAGUACAGCUUGAAAUUUUUAGUUUCAAUGCAGGGAACAAGCCACUUUUCAUAACACCCAGACGUGGUGAUCAACUAACACCAGAGGUAGUGUUUCAACGUCUGGAAAAAAUUCUAAAUUCUAAUGAAGAAUUCUUGCUUGAUGGCCCAUUGAGAAUCAGAUUUUGCAUCAAAAGAUGCCUAGUAGGUUAUGGUAGGAUAACUGUGGGUGUUAAUCUGACAAUGAGUCAUAACAAAUAUGUGACCACAAAAGCAGGUAUCAUCAACAUCCCGAAUGAUGAUGGGCUCUGUUUAGCCCGUGCGAUUGUUGUGGGCAGAGCUCACGCUCAUAGAUUAGACACCCCUGAGGCAAUGACUGAAUACAAAUGGCUCAUUAGGAAAAAUUGUGAUGGGCAGGAACGAGCAGCUUUACAGUUGUGUGACAUUGUGGGGGUAAAUUUGACAUUUGGAGGAGGACUGGAUGAAGUGAGAAACUUCCAAGACGCAUUGCCAGGUUAUACACUUACUGUAUUUUCUGUAGUAGUAGUAAUAUUAAGUUUCUUUCGUUUUUUUUCUUGUCUUAAAGAGUUAUUUAAUAGAUGA
Molecule: long non-coding RNA, 1356 nt
Filed under: Bemisia tabaci
Lineage: Eukaryota; Metazoa; Arthropoda; Insecta; Hemiptera; Aleyrodidae
Description: lncRNA ENSSSA1UGG005471
Source: RNAcentral